GGGUUUUCACAUGCAAAGCUCCUAUUAUUGAACUAGUAGAUUAGUAAAGCAUAUUGGUCGAGAGAAGCCCGGCACUUAAUUAUUCAACACAGUUAUUUUUAGUUCUGUUCUUUCACUAUCUCUGUCCCCUUCAAAAAAUGGCAUGUUCCCAACUAACACCUGUCAGUUUUGAGGCACCCUUAAACCUACACCUUAUGCAACAAAUAAAAGAUCUUGUGCAAGAAAAAUCUUAAACCAAACAACAGCUCAUAGACUUCUACCUACUUAGCGAUUUGUAGACUUUCUGUUUCAGGACGUCAUCUGACGUCUUCCACAUCAGAAGAGGUUCUGGGUUCCCCACAAGCACUUGCCACCAGGAACGCUGCACUUCUGGAACAAAGGCCCCGUACCUGGCUGUUGCAACUUUGGGGCUGAACCUCAUUAAUCCUUGCUAGGUUCAGUGGUAAUUAUUGGAGAAUUGGAUGCUCCUCGGCCAGGGCCAGGAUCCUACAACAGUAUCUCUAGGCAACAUCUCCAACCUGAGAGAACUUAUUUCUGGACUCAUUCCUGUCCUGUAAACAGGGCUGGCGUGAGCCUUCCAAAGAUGCUGGACCAAGACCAUGCUGGAGCAUAGGGUACCACAAGCAAUGGUGGCCCAGACAGGGUUUGGACACAGCUACUGGAAGCAGAUGCACAGGAGAGAAAUGAAUAUAAAACCAGUUGGUCAUCUGCCUACCAUCUCAACUGCUUUCCCAGAGAGUCACAAUAUAGAAAGUAGAAGAACUUAGCCACUGUAAUUUCAUGUCAUUCCACGCAUUUAUUGAGCACCCACCAUAUGACAGAGGUUGGCCACGCUGUAUGAGAAGUCAGAGUUGGGUAAGACAAGUUCCUCGGCCACCUUGAGAAGCUCACCAUUUAGUGGGAGAAACAGACGCGGACACAAAAAACUAUAACCUGAUACAGAAGAAUACAACUGCCAAAGGAAAGAUACAAAUCAAGUGCUGUAGGAGGCAGGUGAAGGAAUGAUUCAUUCCCUAAAAGGAAAUUGGGAAGAUUUUCAUCAAGGAAGUGGUAUGAAAGUACGGGCAGGGUUUAGUUAGCUCUGUCAGGAAGCGGAAGAAACAGCACUCCAGACUGAGGGAACAGCACAGGCAAAUGCAUGGAAUUCUGAAAGGAAGGGUGGUCUAGGCGUCACAAUGAAAUCAAGUGAGGUAUGGGAUGUGAGCAUGAACAAAAGAAAAAUCACUGGGUCCCGGCUCUGAAACCCAGUCAUGGACAUUGCUGUUUCACUGUUCUCUUUGUUGGCUAGGUCACCUUGGCCUCUGUCCCUCAAUCAGAGCGAAAUCCCAUACUAGCCCUUCCUCCAGCGAGGCUGAGCCUAACCCCCAGCCAGGAGAGCCAACGGCGAAGGAACAG
Molecule: long non-coding RNA, 1395 nt
Filed under: Panthera leo (lion)
Lineage: Eukaryota; Metazoa; Chordata; Mammalia; Carnivora; Felidae
Description: lncRNA (ENSPLOG00000005747.1)
Source: RNAcentral